RNAcentral lists this long non-coding RNA (1245 nucleotides) under Mytilus galloprovincialis (Mediterranean mussel). Lineage: Eukaryota; Metazoa; Mollusca; Bivalvia; Mytilida; Mytilidae. The record is from RNAcentral.
UUAAGAUUCAAGAAGAAAUGGGUAAAUAAUCAGCAAAGAAAAAUUGUUGAUGUUAACAUUCUUGUCAUUUGGUCUUUAGUGAAAAGUUUUUGCAUUGGCAAUCAUAUCACAUUUUAUUUUUAAACAAAUAUCUAGAUUUUGACAUUUUUUCUAGUUAGAAAUGUUAAUAUGUAAUGCCAGCUAAAAGAAAGGUUAAACUUAGGGUCACAUCCUUUGGAAAAAAGAUCUGCAAUGCUCGGGGGUCUAGAAGGGGUUACAGAAUAGAGAAUAUUUGGGUGAAAGAGCAGAGUAAUAGGCUAAAUUUACAGAGAAUAGAGAAAAAUAGGGCCAAACAAUAAAAAAUAUAGAAUGAUGGAGUACUUAGAUAUAAAGAAUUGAGAACAAUGAGCAAAAGUUAUAUACAAAUAGAUAAAAUGGACCUAUAUAAUUAUGAAUAUAGAAGUAAAAGACCCCCUGUGCAGACCCCCAAAGUGUGCUGUAUUGUCUCCCUGUGUGAAGAUAAUUUUGCCAAACUGUAGAAGGUAGAUUGUUCAGAUGGAAUGAUAAUAGCCGUAGAAUGUUUGUUAUCUGCAUAUCUUUAUAACUGUUGGAGCUGAUUUAUGAUUCAAGGAUGUUCUCUCCCAUUUAGUUUUGAAGUUUGCCAUAUAUUUGGAAUCCUCUGGUUUUACACAUGUAGGUUCAUUAAAAAAUUUGCCCUCUUACCCCUACUUUUAUUUUUAAAGUGUUAUUAUGUAUAAUUUAAAACGCCAUAUUUCAAAAUCUUAAAGAAAGAUGUGAAACUGAUGACAGGUAAACGUCUGACAGAAACAAUGCAUCUGUGUAGGUCUGUGUAAUGAUACUACAAAUUAGCUCUUAAAACUAUUGUAUAAGCUAUAAAGAAAUGACUGUGAUAUUUAUUUUAUUUUAUAUGCUGAUUUAAAUGUAUUUGUGAAAUUUCUCUUAAACCCUACAUAAAGUUAAUCAGUGCUUAUGAUAUCGUUGUCUUGAUAGAAUGCAAAAUAAAUCAUCUACCCCAAGUGGUAUGAAAAAUUAAAAUAUAUGGAGUUGUCAUAGACAGCAAACCAACUAUUAGUUCCGCCAUGUUGUAUAUCUUUCUUCAAAAUAUCCUACUUAUAUUUACUCAUGUUCAUAAAAGGGAUGUAUAGAGAGAUUUCACAUUAUCUUAUUAACAAUUUCAUUUUUAACACAUUUUGCAAAUGUAUGUUGUGUUAAAAGUUGUAUCAACAUUAAAACGCAUUUUUAAUA